RNAcentral lists this ribosomal RNA (423 nucleotides) under uncultured bacterium. RNAcentral describes it as "bacterial SSU rRNA". It matches the Rfam family "Bacterial small subunit ribosomal RNA", at positions 207 to 622 of the family's 1533-position model. The record is from RNAcentral.
AAGACCUUGCGCUUUUGGAGCGGCCGAUGUCUGAUUAGCUUGUUGGUAAGGUAAAAGCUUACCAAGGCUUCGAUCAGUAGCUGGUCUGAGAGGACGGCCAGCCACACUGGGACUGAGACACGGCCCAGACUCCUACGGGAGGCAGCAGUGGGGAAUUUUGGACAAUGGGGGCAACCCUGAUCCAGCCAUGCCGCGUGAGUGAAGAAGGCCUUCGGGUUGUAAAGCUCUUUCAGCCGGAACGAAACGGUUACGGUUAAUACCCGCGACUACUGACGGUACCGGAAGAAGAAGCACCGGCUAACUACGUGCCAGCAGCCGCGGUAAUACGUAGGGUGCAAGCGUUAAUCGGAAUUACUGGGCGUAAAGCGUGCGCAGGUGGUUUUGUAAGUCAGAUGUGAAAUCCCCGGGCUUAACCUGGGAACU